RNAcentral lists this ribosomal RNA (553 nucleotides) under Paraphaeosphaeria pilleata. Its description in RNAcentral is "SSU rRNA". It matches the Rfam family "Eukaryotic small subunit ribosomal RNA", at positions 580 to 1138 of the family's 1831-position model. The record is from RNAcentral. Lineage: Eukaryota; Fungi; Ascomycota; Dothideomycetes; Pleosporales; Didymosphaeriaceae.
CGAUUCCAGCUCCAAUAGCGUAUAUUAAAGUUGUUGCAGUUAAAAAGCUCGUAGUUGAACCUUGGGUCUGGCUGGCCGGUCCGCCUCACCGCGAGUACUGGUCCGGCUGGACCUUUCCUUCUGGGGAACCUCAUGGCCUUCACUGGCUGUGGGGGGAACCAGGACUUUUACUGUGAAAAAAUUAGAGUGUUCAAAGCAGGCCUUUGCUCGAAUACAUUAGCAUGGAAUAAUAGAAUAGGACGUGCGGUUCUAUUUUGUUGGUUUCUAGGACCGCCGUAAUGAUUAAUAGGGAUAGUCGGGGGCGUCAGUAUUCAGCUGUCAGAGGUGAAAUUCUUGGAUUUGCUGAAGACUAACUACUGCGAAAGCAUUCGCCAAGGAUGUUUUCAUUAAUCAGGGAACGAAAGUUAGGGGAUCGAAGACGAUCAGAUACCGUCGUAGUCUUAACCAUAAACUAUGCCGACUAGGGAUCGGGCGGUGUUUCUAUGAUGACCCGCUCGGCACCUUACGAGAAAUCAAAGUUUUUGGGUUCUGGGGGGAGUAUGGUCGCAAGGCU